AAACUGUCAAAGUAUUGGUGUGGGGAGGAGGUACUUGAAAUGGAAGCGGGUUCGAGUCAUGGUGGGAUGGGGGCGGAAAGAGAGACAAACUGCAUGCCAACAAGUGUCAUGCCAUGCCAUGUAAUGACCUGUUUUCAAGGGUCUUAGAAGGCGGUAUAAAUUUUCAAUUAAUUUUCAAAGUAUCUCAUAUCAUAGCAAGUCAAUCUAGUUACCUAGAAAUACGAGUAAUGCGAGCUUGAAAAUUAUUUGAAUACAAACAUACAUAUACAUAUAAAAAACUACAUCAAAAUUAACUACAAAUUUUAGCAUACAUUCAUCCCUCUAAUCUAAACAUUUUUAAAAUCCUUCUUGUUCCUUUUGGCAAAAAUUGGGAAAAACAUACAUAAUACACUAAAAGUUACAAAAGUUCUUAACUUUAAUCAUUUUAUAUCAAAAUUAAGUAAAAUUUUAACACGAAAUAGGAAUAGAACUCUUCAUCAAAAUUAAUAUGUCGGAGAUUAUAAAGGUGGUUUAUACUCCUGCUUCACGAGGACGUGUAAUUUGUCA
Molecule: long non-coding RNA, 546 nt
Organism: Drosophila willistoni
Lineage: Eukaryota; Metazoa; Arthropoda; Insecta; Diptera; Drosophilidae
Exons: 2
Source: RefSeq, a predicted model, not a curated record